UACGGAGGGGGCUAGCGUUGUUCGGAAUUACUGGGCGUAAAGCGCACGUAGGCGGCUUUGUAAGUUAGAGGUGAAAGCCCGGGGCUCAACUCCGGAAUGGCCUUUAAGACUGCAUCGCUAGAAUUGUGGAGAGGUAAGUGGAAUUCCGAGUGUAGAGGUGAAAUUCGUAGAUAUUCGGAAGAACACCAGUGGCGAAGGCGACUUACUGGACACAUAUUGACGCUGAGGUGCGAAAGCGUGGGGAGCAAACAGGG
This 254-nucleotide ribosomal RNA is filed under the name uncultured bacterium. RNAcentral's name for it is "partial 16S ribosomal RNA". It matches the Rfam family "Bacterial small subunit ribosomal RNA", at positions 524 to 777 of the family's 1533-position model. The record is from RNAcentral.